RNAcentral lists this ribosomal RNA (891 nucleotides) under Pediococcus pentosaceus. RNAcentral describes it as "bacterial SSU rRNA". It matches the Rfam family "Bacterial small subunit ribosomal RNA", at positions 68 to 917 of the family's 1533-position model. Lineage: Bacteria; Bacillati; Bacillota; Bacilli; Lactobacillales; Lactobacillaceae. The record is from RNAcentral.
UUCCGUUAAUUGAUUAUGACGUACUUGUACUGAUUGAGAUUUUAACACGAAGUGAGUGGCGAACGGGUGAGUAACACGUGGGUAACCUGCCCAGAAGUAGGGGAUAACACCUGGAAACAGAUGCUAAUACCGUAUAACAGAGAAAACCGCAUGGUUUUCUUUUAAAAGAUGGCUCUGCUAUCACUUCUGGAUGGACCCGCGGCGUAUUAGCUAGUUGGUGAGGUAAAGGCUCACCAAGGCAGUGAUACGUAGCCGACCUGAGAGGGUAAUCGGCCACAUUGGGACUGAGACACGGCCCAGACUCCUACGGGAGGCAGCAGUAGGGAAUCUUCCACAAUGGACGCAAGUCUGAUGGAGCAACGCCGCGUGAGUGAAGAAGGGUUUCGGCUCGUAAAGCUCUGUUGUUAAAGAAGAACGUGGGUAAGAGUAACUGUUUACCCAGUGACGGUAUUUAACCAGAAAGCCACGGCUAACUACGUGCCAGCAGCCGCGGUAAUACGUAGGUGGCAAGCGUUAUCCGGAUUUAUUGGGCGUAAAGCGAGCGCAGGCGGUCUUUUAAGUCUAAUGUGAAAGCCUUCGGCUCAACCGAAGAAGUGCAUUGGAAACUGGGAGACUUGAGUGCAGAAGAGGACAGUGGAACUCCAUGUGUAGCGGUGAAAUGCGUAGAUAUAUGGAAGAACACCAGUGGCGAAGGCGGCUGUCUGGUCUGCAACUGACGCUGAGGCUCGAAAGCAUGGGUAGCGAACAGGAUUAGAUACCCUGGUAGUCCAUGCCGUAAACGAUGAUUACUAAGUGUUGGAGGGUUUCCGCCCUUCAGUGCUGCAGCUAACGCAUUAAGUAAUCCGCCUGGGGAGUACGACCGCAAGGUUGAAACUCAAAAGAAUUGACGGG